UACGAAGGGGGCUAGCGUUGCUCGGAAUUACUGGGCGUAAAGGGCGCGUAGGCGGACAGUUAAGUCAGAGGUGAAAGCCCCGGGCUUAACUUGGGAAUUGCGCUCGAAACUACUUUGCUGGAGUGUGGCAGAGGAAGGUGGAAUUCCACGUGUAGCGGUGAAAUGCGUAGAGAUGUGGAGGAACACCAAUGGCGAAGGCAGCCUUCUGGGCCAACACUGACGCUCAUGCACGAAAGCGUGGGGAGCAAACAGG
RNAcentral lists this ribosomal RNA (253 nucleotides) under uncultured bacterium. RNAcentral's name for it is "partial 16S ribosomal RNA". It matches the Rfam family "Bacterial small subunit ribosomal RNA", at positions 524 to 776 of the family's 1533-position model. The record is from RNAcentral.